Monodelphis domestica (gray short-tailed opossum) is the source of this 3290-nucleotide non-coding RNA. NCBI's taxonomy places the organism in Eukaryota, Metazoa, Chordata, Mammalia, Didelphimorphia, Didelphidae. The record is from RefSeq and is a predicted model, not a curated record.
GAGAGAGAGAGAGAGAGAAACGGAGGAAAUGAAAUACAUAUAUGUAAAUAUAUGUAUAUAAAUACCCUCAACGUAUAUGUAUAUAUGAGAUAAAAAAUAACACUUCUCUGUCAUUGAUUAUGCUCUCAUAAGACACUUCCCACAGAUGGGGGAUAAUCUCUAAUUUAUUGCCAAUAUAUGUUUGUGUGUAUGUUUCUCAUCCAUCACUUUUCUGUUAUGGAUAGCAUGCUUUAUCACAGGUCCUUUAGAAUCUUGGGUGGUCAUUGUGUUGACCAUAGUUCUUACAUCUUACAAAAUUGUUUGGUUUGGAAAGGUUCUGAUUAUUCCAGAUAUUGUUUUCUUGGCUCUUCUCAUCUCAUUCUUCAUCUAUUUAUAGAAGUCCUUAAAUUGUUCACUUUUAUCAUAUUGAUGUUAUAAAUUAUUCUGUGGUUCUGCUCCGUUCACUCUCCAUUAGUUCAUGUAAGUCUUCCUGGGUCUCUUGGAAAUAGAUUUCCCAUUUAUGACAUCAUAAUGGCAGAUAAGUGCUAUUAUCCUCAUUUGAUUGAAGGUGAAACUUAGACUAGGAGAAGUUUAAGUGCCUUGCUCAGAGUCACAUAGGUAGGGAGUGUCUGGUUCAGGAUUUGAACUCAGGUCUUUGAAACUCUAAAUCCAUCACAUUCAUAUGCUACAACUUAUUCAACUAUCCCUCAGCUGAUGGGCAGCUUGUUUGUUUGGGAGUAUUUUGCCACCAAAAGAAGAGUUACUGUCAAUGCCAAAAGCUUGGGUCCAGCCCUGCUCAUGGCUCUAGGGGUCCUCGUCAGGUGGAGCGGUGUAGGCAGAAAUGAAUGAUGGAAGAUAGCUGUGUGUGUAUAAUUGGGUAAGAUCCCUGCGUGCGGCAGCAAUCAAUGUGGCAUGAAGUGAAGCAGGCAGCUUCAAGAAGACAAUUUUAGGGCACCGUUUCUAGUCUCGUUUUCCUUUCCCAGGAGGUAAGCAGUCGGUCCUUCAAAAAGGAACUCAAAUACCCAGAAGGCUGCUGAAAUCCACUGCUGCUUCCAUGACCACGUUCCUGAUCCUACACGCCAUUCCUGCAGCAAAGAGAUGCUGACAAUAUAUGCUUAUUCUACGUCUCUGCUCUAUCGCCCAUCUGGACUUUGCACAGUGCCUAGCACAUAGAAGAUACUUAAUAAAAGGGAAUCGAAUUGAACUGAAUUAUGAACAGAGCACACUUCUAAGGUAGUGGGCCAUGGCUAUUACUACUAUCUUCAACUUGAUGAGAAAGCUCAGCAUCGGGGAAGGCAAGUGGCUGCAGCUCACGUGGGGUCAACUGGAGUUGGAGCUCGAGCUUCUUUUUUCUAGCACUGAGGCGCUUUCAGUGGCGUCCCACUGCCUUUGGGGGAAGCAGUGGCUCCUCUCUUUAUUAGAAGUUUGCUCCAACACGGUCUCUAGUUGUCUGUUUGUGUUUGGCACCCAGACCUUUAGAGGAAAGACGGUAAGUAGGUGUACUCUUCUGUCAGGUCUCUUAUAGUGCCUCAUGAGUCAGAAGAAGCCACUUCACGUGCCCUCCUUUGACAUGAAAGAACAAGGCACAGGACAGAGGAAGAGAUACCUGCUGGGCACCGUACUCUUUCCAUGGCACUCAAGACACAAGUGCAGCACAAUCUCUCUUAUUUUGGGUUUAGAUGACUGGAGAGGAAGGACAAUUCUAUCCAAACAGAUGUUUCUGUAACUAGAAUACACACUUCGCCUUUUAUGGUACAUUUUGUUUUCAAGGGGAAGACAUGCAAUUAAUGAGGAUCCAUUCCCUCACCUCUGUCAACAUCCUUAUUUGGGGGGUUCAAAUAUUUUAUGGUGAUCUCCAACCUCACUACAUAAUUCCAUCUUGGUGGGGCUUGUACCAAGUUGUUGUUUUUGAAUUCUUUCAUUCUGUCUUAGUAUCAAUUCUAAGGCAGAAGAGUGGCAAGGGCUGGGCCAUUGGGGUUAAGUGACUUGCCCCUGGUCACACCGCUAGCAAGUGCCCGAGGCCAGAUUUGAACAUAUUUCCUCCUAAUUCUAUGUCUAGUGCUUAGUUGCCCUGAUGAGUUUUGAUAGUUGCGUAUCCGUCUACUUUACACAACUUACCAAUUCUUUUAUAAGCGUUAUUCUGCUUUGAAAAAAAGAAAGCUAUGAAAACUUGGCUUCAUAAUAUAUCUACCAAGCCAAAAAAGAGGCAUUGGGAGAUCCCUGACUCCUUGUUCACUGUGGAAUUUAGAAUCCUUUUUCCUGAUCUUUAGCAGGGGCAGUGAAUUAAUUGCAUGAUGACUUUAAUUAAGAAGAACUUUAAUUUCUCUUUCUGUUCUUAUUGCUAUAAGUUUAUUGCUAUUUCUUAUUGUUUAUUUACUAGCAUUUCUAGUAAAAUGCUAAAUGAUAACGAUGACAAUCAAAUCCUCGUUUCACCCUUGAUCUUCUUGGAAUGCCUUCUAAUUUAUCCCCAUUAUAGAGAAUGCUUGCCGAUGGUUUUAGAUAGAUACUAUUUAUUUUAAGGAAACCUCCAUUUAUUUCAAUGCUUGUUCUAAAUGGAAAUGAGUACUUUAUUUUGUCAUAAGCCUUUUCUCCAUGUAUUGAGAUAAUGAUAUAUUUUUUAUUGUUUUUGUUAUGGAUGUGGUCAAUGUGCUAAUAAUUUUUCUAAUAUUGAACUAGCUCUAUAUUCCUAUUAGAAACUCCACCUGGUCAUAAAGUCGAAUCUCUGUGGUAUAUCCCUUUAAUUGUUAUGCUAGCAUUUUAUUUAACAUUUUUGCAUCAAUAAUCAUUAGAGUACUUGGUCAAGUUUUCUUUCUCUGUUUUUACUCUUCCUGGUUUAGGUUUCAUUAUAAUUCUGGUGUCAUAAAAAGACUCUGGUAGAACUACUGCUUUGCCUAUUUUUCCAAACUAUUUUGAAGAAAAGGACUAGAAUGAAUUUUUCUUUCAGUGCCUCUGGUGCUUGUAUCUGGUCCUGGAGAUGCUUCUUAGGGAGUUCGCUGAUGACUUGUUCAAUUUCUUUUUCUAAGAUAGAGUUAUUUAAGUAUUACAUUUCCUCUUUUUUUUUUUGCUAAACUGGGUAAUUUCUACUUUUGUAAAUAUUCAUCCAUUUCACUUAGAUCAUCAGAUUUGUUGGUAUAUAAUUGAAUAAAAUAGUUCCUAAUAAUUCCUUUAAUUUCCUCUUAGUUAGUGAUGAAUUCACGUUUGCCAUUUUUUUAUAUUGGUAAUUUCUUUCUUUUUCUUUCUUUUUUUAAAAUCCAAUUGACCAAUGUUUUAUCUUUUUUCCUUGUUUUUAAUAAAACUCCUUCUGAAUUUUA